GAAAGUAAGAAAGGGCGUAUGGCGGAUGCCUAGGCUCACGGAGGCGAUGAAGGACGUGAUAAGCUGCGAUAAGCUUCGGGUAGGUGCAAAUAACCUUUGAUCCGAAGAUUUCCGAAUGGGACAACCUAGCCGUCUGAAGGACGGUUACUCUUACCAAUGUAAGAGAGCUAACGCAGGGAACUGAAACAUCUUAGUACCUGUAGGAAGAGAAAAUAAAUGAAUGAUUCCCCCAGUAGUGGCGAGCGAACGGGGAACAGCCCAAACCGUUGACGUCGCAAGGCGCCAGCGGGGUUGUAGGACCGCGAUAUUGUAUGCAAAUCGUGAACAGAACACUUUGGAAAAUGUGACCAUAGACGGUGAUAGUCCAGUAUGUGAAGCGAAAUGCAGCAUAGCGGUAUCCUGAGUAACGCGGGACACGAGGAAUCCUGCGCGAAUCUGCCGGGACCAUCCGGUAAGGCUAAAUACUCCCGUGAGACCGAUAGCGAACGAGUACUGUGAAGGAAAGGUGAAAAGAACCCCGAGCAGGGGAGUGAAAUAGUUCCUGAAACCAUACGCCUACAAGCGGUCGGAGCAUCUUACGAUGUGACGGCGUGCCUUUUGCAUAAUGAUCCUACGAGUUACCGUCACUGGCGAGGUUGAGUGUCAUGAGACACGUAGCCGCAGUGAAAGCGAGCCUGAACAGGGCGCAUAGUCAGUGGGGGUAGACGCGAAACCAAGUGAUCUACACUUGGCCAGGAUGAAGUCCCGGUAACACGGGAUGGAGGUCCGCACCAAUAAGCGUUGAAAAGCUUCUGGAUGAGCCGAGUGUAGGAGUGAAAGGCCAAUCAAACUUGGAGAUAGCUCGUACUCCCCGAAAGGCAUUUAGGUGCCGCGUCGGAUGGUCACCGUGAGAGGUAGAGCGACCGAUAGGACAAGAGGGCUUCACCGCCUAUCGAGUCCUGACGAACUCCGAAUGCUCACGGUCUGCAGUCCGGCAGUAAGGGGGCGGGUGCUAAGGUCCGUCCCCGAGAGGAGAAGAAUCCAGACCGCCGUCUAAGGUCCCGGAGUUCUGCCUGAGUUAGUCUAACGAAGUCUGGUCCCUAUGACAGCUAGGAUGUUGGCUUGGAAGCAGCCAUUCAUUCAAAGAGUGCGUAACAGCUCACUAGUCGAGGGUCCGGGCAUGGAUAAUAAUCGGGUAUAAGGCAGACACCGAAGGCGCGGGAUAGCAUUUAAGAAAGUAUCGGUAGGGGAGCAUACUCACAGCGUGGAAUGGUGUACGUAAGUUAUCCUGGAGCGGUGAGUAAAGCAAAUGUAGGAAUAAGUAACGAUAAGGAGGGUUAGAUUCCCUCCCGCUGUAAGACCAAGGUUUCCCGGGCAAUGCCAAUCAGCCCGGGGUCAGUCGGGUCCUAAGUCUAAGCCGAACGGCGAUGGCGAUGGCAGAGACGGUUAAUAUUCCGUCACUGCCGCAUGGGGCGACGUGGAGACGGAGCAGUGAAACCACCGCGGGGCGACGGAAGUCCCCGUUGAAGAGUGUAGGUGUUGAGGAUGGCAGGCAAAUCCACCGUCCGAGCUGAACUUGAUAGUAUGGAGUCUUCUUCGGAAGAAUCCAAUAGUGUGGGUAAUCAUACUCCCGAGAAAAUCCGCUAAGCUUAACCCAUGCGGCACCCGUACCGCAAACGGACACACGUGGUCGGGUAGAACAUACUAAGGCGUUGAGAGAUUCAUGGUUAAGGAACUAGGCAAAUUGACCCUGUAACUUCGGGAUAAAGGGUCCUCGUGAUGAGCGAGGCGCAGAGAAUAGGUCCAGGCAACUGUUUAACAAAAACACAGGGCUGUGCAAACUCGAAAGAUGACGUAUACAGCCUGACACCUGCCCGGUGCCGGAAGGUUAAGAGGAGAUGUCACUCGCAAGAGGAAGCAUUGAAUUGAAGCCCCGGUAAACGGCGGCCGUAACUAUAACGGUCCUAAGGUAGCGAAAUUCCUUGUCGGGU
Molecule: ribosomal RNA, 1970 nt
Filed under: human gut metagenome
Description: bacterial LSU rRNA
Rfam family: Bacterial large subunit ribosomal RNA
Source: RNAcentral